AAAUAAUAAUAAUAAUAAUAAAAAUAAAUAAAUAAAUAAAUAAAGUGUAAUGAUUUUAUGUUAGACCAAAAAAAAAAAAGGCCGAAACAGAGCAUAGAAGAAAAAAUACACGCCGAUCGCUGAGAAAUACCUCGGAUGAAAGCGUCUCUCUCUGAUUGAUGUGAUUUUGGUGCCCGAAUGAGCUUCAUCACAUUGUGCCGAAAGAAUCAUUUAGAAGUCCAAGUUUUGAGUACAACUCUCCAAUGUGCAAAAAUAAAAGGUUCCUUGGCUAAAAUUGAGGAAAUAUCCCUAUCGAAUGUCAUUUGGACUGCUGCAAGUGUAUAGAGGAGGUUUUGCAAAGUAAUGGAAAGGAUUUGGAACUUGGGAAGCUUUGGUUGAGCUACAUCCGUACGGUUGCAUAUUAAUCAAAUACGAGUUCUACACGGAUUGGCUACAAUUCUGCCUUGAGUAUAUAUACGAUCCCAUGGUACAUUUUCUGCCUUCUGUUUAUACAAACCAUUUAUAUUUGCCAUUGUGUAUUUAUUAUGACUACAUUGAUCUAUUAGUUUUGAUGCAACAGUUUUAUAUGAAAUACAUUGGCAAAGUUGUAGCAUAAUGGUUGAAGUGCUACUAGCAUGACAUCUUAAAAGGAGCGGUUGGAUCUUUAUUGUUCGCCCAUUAACAAAAAGAACUAUGUUAAAUGCGGUUUCAAAAGCUGGGUCCCGGUUUAUUUAGGGUAAGGGUUAAAACCAUAAUAUCAUAAAACCCCGUUGUACUAUGAAAUUUAUGCAUAUAACCCCCUUGUACUAAGUAAACCUCGUGAAAUCCCUUUUAACUCCUGUUAGUUUGCCAUCAGACACCAACAUGCUUACUCUCCAUGCGACCAAAAUGCCCAUGUAUAUAUACCCUUCUCAUUUUUUAAAUUAAAAUUAAAACCGUAAUAUCAAUUUUUUCAUUUCACAAUUUGCAUAACAAAUCUGUCGCGGAAUGGGAUAAAAUGAUCACUUUAGUCAGAACAAGGGGAUGUUAUGAUUUUACCCUUAAGAGUAAAUGAUGUUAGAGGGUAGUUCUGGUUAUAUGUUUCAUAAAGAGGAUAUAGCCAGUUUUGUGAACCAUUUAGCUGCAGUUUGUUUCCAACAAAGAAGCAUUAGGACUCCAGUCAUUGGGCGGUUUGGUCCUAUGUCAAGUUAGUUCACUGGCCCCAAGCUCGCCGUUAAAAAAUUGGGACUUUGCCAACAGGACAAGAUAAUAAAUGGCGACGGCACAGAAAUGAUACUCUCCUCGUCCCAAUGUCCCUUUUCGAUAUGGAAAAUCCUAAACCUACCAAGAAAUGAUACUCUCCUCGUCCCCAAUGUCCCUUACGGGGGCCUUUGAGCUCUUACCUCACUCUGGAAGAUUCAAGAGAUACCAAGAGAACAAUACACCAAAUGUAUGUCUACUUUAAAAUUAGAAUAUCGGGAGAGUACAAUCAUUUGGCGGAGAUUUGAGUUCUCACCCCUUUAAUAACUAGAGAGUUAGGAGUUAUUGGGGUUUGGGGAGAGGGGAUUCGAACCUAAAAAUAUAGGGUAGGGAUACUUAAGGUCUGACCAUUUAUCACUCGAACAACACUGUCACACCUUAGCUCUUAUUUCUAAAAGAUUGAACAGAUAUCUUUUAGAGUGAGAGGUAAGAGCUAAGGUGUGGCGGUGUUGUUCGAGUGGUCAAUGGUCAGACCUUAAGUAUCCCUACCUUAUAUUUUUAGGUUCGAAUCCCCUUUUUCCAAACCCCCCAAUAACUCCUAACUCUCUAGUUAUUAAAGGGGUAAGAGUUCAAAUCUCCGCCAAAUGGUUGUACUCUCCAGAUAUUCUAAUUUUUAAGUAGACAUAUUUUCAGAGUGAGGUAAGAGCUCAAAGCCCCUCCCCCUGGUGCGGGUAAAGUAAACAUUCAAGACAAAUAUUUUAGGACAACCGAAAAAAGAAAAGAUGAAUUAUUAUAUUAGAAAGGAGGACGUAUCAAAAUAAGUGUAUUUCAAGUUACCAUUUCGCCAGUAUAUAUGCAACACAUUCAUUGUUGUUACCUUCUGAAAAAAAAAAAAAAAAAAAAAAUCACAUUCAUUAUUGUUCAAAUGAAUGCUAAAUUCAAAACUUUGUCCAAAGGGUUACGAUCUAUUUUGUAUCCUGUCUCUUCGUUUUAAAAAUAAAAUGAGACAAACUUUCCAAAUCCAGUGGGAAAGAGAUACAAAAAUGAUAUAAAGCAUGAUAAUACUUUACAUGAAUUAUUGAAAUGUGUAAUGCAUGUGUGAAUGUUCAUGAUGCAUGUGAUCGUAACAUGGAGGAAGAGAUACCAGAGUUGGGGAUGUGUGUGAGAGAGACUAAUGUGAUCUGGAUCACUCCUACUACUUUUAUUCUUUGUAAAAUAUUAGGUACAAUCAUUCACACAUUUUAUUCAAUGUGGAACCACACCUUCCAAAAUUGCAUCAACAAUUGCAAGUUAUACAACAAGGGUAUUUUUAUUUUAUUUUUAAAAAUUAAUUUUUUUAAAAGAAAUUUGUAGAAACAACAUUACAAUUAGAGCACAGGGAGUUGAGUAAUUUUGUAUUUUUUAAAAAAUAUAUAUAUAUAUAUAUAUAUAUAUAUAUAUAAAGUUUAAAUCGCUCAUAAUCAAAGUGUAAAAAAAUAAAAUUUAAAUCACACAAAAUGAGAACAUGAGAACCAAAGUACGUCGGAGGCAAAAUGUGUGACUGGUCAGCUAACUCAUUUGGAUAAUCAAGCGAAAAAAAAAAAAUCAUUUGGCCCAGCAUCGCAGGGUAUUUAGCAUUUUCAAUUAACAAUGGCAAAAACAAAUGAAUAAAAAAAUAAAAAAUUAACAAUGGUACUCUCUAGUAGGACCUAGGAAGGCUAGGAUCUGGCCCAGUGGUGAGGGGUUGGUUGCCCAGUGAAUCGGCAAUGCAUUCCAGCUCACACAUUCGCACCGCCGAGAUCUUCGACUUUUCAGGUCGAAUGGCCCUCGUGUCAUGUCCCAUUCAGGUGGACCCACGUCGGUGGCGUACGGAAAAGGUCGGAUUCGAACCUUCGCGAGAUUGGGACCCAGCCUCCCACGUGACGUCAGGUGCUGAUCACCUAAACGCUAGGUGGUACGACACGUAUAAAAAUAUGAAUGGUUGGUAUUCGCGAUAAUUCCGGGACUAGAAGGAACUGUUGGUACUGUGCGUGCGAGAACUCCAGAAGGAACCAACAGUUCACCGUUUGAUAAGUCUACUUCUCGUUGACAAUACAUUGGAUGGACGGUUG
Cornus florida is the source of this 3248-nucleotide long non-coding RNA. RefSeq lists it as uncharacterized. Lineage: Eukaryota; Viridiplantae; Streptophyta; Magnoliopsida; Cornales; Cornaceae. The record is from RefSeq and is a predicted model, not a curated record. The transcript is spliced from 3 exons.